RNAcentral lists this transfer RNA (72 nucleotides) under Escherichia coli. Its description in RNAcentral is "tRNA-Thr". The stretch from base 1 to 61 matches the Rfam family "tRNA". From Rfam's summary of the family: Transfer RNA (tRNA) molecules are approximately 80 nucleotides in length. Their secondary structure includes four short double-helical elements and three loops (D, anti-codon, and T loops). Lineage: Bacteria; Pseudomonadati; Pseudomonadota; Gammaproteobacteria; Enterobacterales; Enterobacteriaceae. The record is from RNAcentral.
GCUGAUAUGGCUCAGUUGGUAGAGCGCACCCUUGGUAAGGGUGAGGUCCCCAUUUUCAGCCUGGAUACAGAU